This 619-nucleotide long non-coding RNA is filed under the name Triticum aestivum (bread wheat). RNAcentral describes it as "long non-coding RNA (TAES_LNC011161)". Lineage: Eukaryota; Viridiplantae; Streptophyta; Magnoliopsida; Poales; Poaceae. The record is from RNAcentral.
UGAACAUUAAGGGAGCCAGGCAUGGGGUACUGGGGAGAUGAUCAAACCUGACCUAAACUGUACAGGUAGGAAAAAACAACAAAUAUUACCACAACCACGGUGCAAGGCCAAAGACGAACUAUAUAAUCAGCAUGACACUACGAAAUACUAUAAUUAGAGAUGAGAUAUAUCUUCGCAGAAUAACAAUCUUUGGCAGUGAGCUCGAUGUCUUUCCCUGUUCUUUCAUCUGGUUUGGCAACCUCGGACAAUGUUCACAUCCUGUGAAGUAGAGGAAAGUCCCAAUCAAUUAGUACAUAUUCCUGUAUUCCAUGAUUAAAUAUGCUAGAGUAUAUAUAUAUAUAUGNNNNNNNNNNCGAUGUCUUUCCCUGUUCUUUCAUCUGGUUUGGCAACCUCGGACAAUGUUCACAUCCUGUGAAGUAGAGGAAAGUCCCAAUCAAUUAGUACAUAUUCCUGUAUUCCAUGAUUAAAUAUGCUAGAGUAUAUAUAUAUAUAUAUGUAUAUAUAUAUAUAUAUAUAUAUAUAUCGGAUAUUUAUAUAUAUAUAUGAAUUAUACAUAUUCAGGUCAAUAUGAAUUAUACAAAUUCCAUGAGUAAAUUAUGUCAAGAACCUCCAAAGCAAG